GACGAACCGUGCGAACGUUUAUUCGGAAUCACUGGGCUUAAAGCGCGUGUAGGCGGGAAGGCACGUCGGUCGCUGAAAUCCCCCGGCUCAACCGGGGAAGUGGCGCCGAUACGACCUUCCUGGAGGGACGUAGGGGGGCCUGGAACUUCCGGUGGAGCGGUGAAAUGCGUUGAGAUCGGAAGGAACGCCCGUGGCGAAAGCGAGGUCCUGGACGUUUUUUUUCUGACGCUGAGACGCGAAAAGCCAGGGGGAGCAAACGGGG
Molecule: ribosomal RNA, 262 nt
Filed under: uncultured bacterium
Lineage: Bacteria
Description: partial 16S ribosomal RNA
Rfam family: Bacterial small subunit ribosomal RNA
Source: RNAcentral